Non-coding RNA from Epinephelus lanceolatus (giant grouper), 2491 nucleotides. The record is from RefSeq and is a predicted model, not a curated record. NCBI's taxonomy places the organism in Eukaryota, Metazoa, Chordata, Actinopteri, Perciformes, Serranidae.
AGUGAGCACCCCCAUAUAGUCAGAAUGGUACGGUCUUGUUUCAUAACCACAUUUUGCGACGAUUCGACGGCAAGACUGGCAGUCGAAUCAGACUUCUCCGAAUCGAAUCACCGAAUCAUCGACUAUUCAGGGUCAACCCUACAUUCAUUAACUGAAAGUGACUAAUCCGCACAGCAGCAGUAAAGCCCAGCAUACACUGUACGAUUUUUAAAAUCUUGUUGUUAAUACCAGCUCACACUGUACGAGUGAAUCAUCUACGAUGUGCGGCCAAAGCUCACGAUUUAUGUGCUCACACUGUAUGUUCCGAUCAUCAAGCACGAUCAGAGAGCUCACACUGUACGGGUGAAAACGGCUCGUUGGCCCCUGCUGACUGUCCUGCCCGUUGACAGCUGUCAAUAAAGAUACAUUUGAAAGCUCAGAUUUGUUCCGGAAGUGCCGAUGUUGCCAACGAACCAGGACAAGCGGUUUGCUUUGGUGAUUUGCGCUAUACUGUGUGCCGAAAUGUCCAAAAAGAAGAGGCGUCGGCGCAUAUGGACUCGCAGAUGGCUUGAGAGACGUGGACAGUAUGGUUUGUCUAUUUUACAACGAGAGUUGGAGGUGGACGAUAUGAAGGGAUUUCGCAACCUUCUAAGAAUGUCUGUGGAGGACUUCAGUCACCUUCUGGACAGAGUAACACCUAUCAUCCUGAAGCAGGACGGCCAUCUAAGAAAAGCCAUUAGCCCAAAGGACAGGCUCUCUGUGACAUUACAGUUCCUGGCUACAGCUUCAAGACCCGCAUCUGACAGCUUCUGUAUGGCAGUCGCCCUGAGGCUGUGAUUGGUGUAUCUUCGGCAGCAUCUGUGCGAGUGAAAUAUUCAACUCAUUGAAUUUCCAAUAUCAGAUUGGAAGCACAACUCUGAGCAGGAUUGUUAUGGAGACCUGUGCAGCCCUAACUUCUGUGCUAUGCGAGGAUUUCCUGAAGGUAACACAGUCAGAAACACUUACGGCCCUAACUGUACGUCACAUGAUCUGUGAUGAUUUCUUUAAGCACAAUACACAAGAAUUAUGCUUUCACUAUUGAAUAUUUUUAAUCACACCUUUUUUAACUUUACCGAAGGGUGUGAUGGUAUGGUGUAAAAUGUCAACUAACCAUGCUAUCAAUGACAUCCUACUCAAUAAUAUAUGAUUGUCUGAAUUUGUUUUGUUUUUGUGCAUAUAGAAGUCAUUGUUAACAUUUCUUGAGCCAGAGUGGAAAGCCAUUGCCAAAGACUUCCAUGACAAGUGGCAGUUUCCACACUGCCUGGGUGCAGUGGACGGGAAACACGUUUUCAUUCAACCUCCUGCCAACAGUAGAAGUGUGUAUUACAACUACAAGUCCCGGUUUUCCAUCAUACUCAUGGCUGUAGUUGAUGCAAAUUAUAAGUUUGUUUAUGCAAGUGCAGGAACCCAGGGCAGAGUGUCAGACGCUAGCGUGUUUGCACAAUCAGACUUGGGAGCCGCAAUGGACAAAGGCCUCCUUCAUGUCCCCCCUGAUGACACACUGCCCAACACUGAUAUCUUGAUGCCCUACAUGUUCAUUGGAGAUGAGGCCUAUCCACUCAGAGCAGAUCUCAUGAAGCCUUACCCCUUCUGAAACCUGAACAGGAGUCAGAGGCUCUUCAAUUACCGUCUGUCUCGGGCUCGACGAGUAGUGGAAAAUGCCUUUGGAAUAUUAGCCAAUCGCUUCAGAGUUUUCAGAACAACUAUUUCCCUGGAUCCAGACAAGGUCAUGAACAUCAUCUUUGCAUGUCUGUGCCUGCACAACUUCUUACGUGACAGAAGAUCUGAUGCCUACUUGCCACCUGCCUAUGUGGAUUCAGAAGAUGCCAACCAUCAGCUGAUUGAAGGUGCAUGGAGGAGAGAGGGCAUACUACAGCCUGCACCAGUGGGAAGAGCAAGAAAUCCCUCUGUUGAAGCGAAGGGGCAACAAGACAGACUAUGCCAAUACUUUGUGUCACCUGCAGGAAGUGUUUCAUGGCAGGAGGGCAUGGUGUAGGCUUAAAAUCAGGGAUGCAGGAAGUAGGGGUGCUGAGGGGGCUGUAGCAAGGCAAAACUGUUUACUAAACAAAUCGAUAAAAAAACAUUUAUUGUUUGAGUGUAGCAUUUUAGCGUAAGCUGGCUGAGAAACAUGGUUAUGUGUUAAACAGUUGAAAUCCACCCUUUGUUAUUUUUUAUAUUUCAUUUCAUUUCAUUUCAAAACAUCCAUUGUAUUUUCUGUGUAUCUGAUGCAUAAACGCAGACAGGUUAGAUGUGUAGCUUGUUAUCUGUCUCUCAAUUUUCCUGCCUCACUGGUUACAGGAUGUAAUUUAUUAUUUCAUUUAGUAAAUGUAUUUCUUGUUUCUGUCACAGAUCUGUAGUGUGACAUGCUUUGAAUAAGAGUGAGCAAUGAUCAUGUCAACUCAUUUGGCAAUGGCUUGAAUGUAGCGAACACUGUUUGACAUUAAUUUAAUAUGUAAUAGUUAUUGCACUAUAA